CCCAUUUCAUAUAUUUUUUUUUUGCUCAUUUUCGUCAAUUGUCCAAUACAAAUAUCAAAUAUGUAGUAAUAUAACAACAUCUGGCUUCCACCUUGAUUCCAGAUCAUAUUCUAUGUGGGUAAUAUAUGAAAAUCAUACAUGAGAUGAAGCUCAAAAAAGGGGGGAAAAAGGAUCAAAAAUGAAAAAAAGAAAAGCACAUUUAAGAAUCAGAAGAACCUGAAACUCUAGGGGAAGUCACUGGAAACAAGGGCAAAAGGCGGGGC
This 263-nucleotide unclassified non-coding RNA is filed under the name Hevea brasiliensis (rubber tree). The record is from RNAcentral. Lineage: Eukaryota; Viridiplantae; Streptophyta; Magnoliopsida; Malpighiales; Euphorbiaceae.